This 591-nucleotide ribosomal RNA is filed under the name uncultured bacterium. RNAcentral's name for it is "bacterial SSU rRNA". It matches the Rfam family "Bacterial small subunit ribosomal RNA", at positions 334 to 917 of the family's 1533-position model. The record is from RNAcentral.
UACUCCUACGGGAGGCAGCAGUGGGGAAUUUUGGACAAUGGGCGCAAGCCUGAUCCAGCCAUGCCGCGUGUCUGAAGAAGGCCUUCGGGUUGUAAAGGACUUUUGUCAGGGAAGAAAAGGAUAGGGUUAAUACCCCUGUCUGAUGACGGUACCUGAAGAAUAAGCACCGGCUAACUACGUGCCAGCAGCCGCGGUAAUACGUAGGGUGCAAGCGUUAAUCGGAAUUACUGGGCGUAAAGCGAGCGCAGACGGUUACUUAAGCAGGAUGUGAAAUCCCCGGGCUCAACCUGGGAACUGCGUUCUGAACUGGGUGACUAGAGUGUGUCAGAGGGAGGUAGAAUUCCACGUGUAGCAGUGAAAUGCGUAGAGAUGUGGAGGAAUACCGAUGGCGAAGGCAGCCUCCUGGGAUAACACUGACGUUCAUGCUCGAAAGCGUGGGUAGCAAACAGGAUUAGAUACCCUGGUAGUCCACGCCCUAAACGAUGUCAAUUAGCUGUUGGGCAACUUGAUUGCUUAGUAGCGUAGCUAACGCGUGAAAUUGACCGCCUGGGGAGUACGGUCGCAAGAUUAAAACUCAAAGGAAUUGACGGA